This 678-nucleotide ribosomal RNA is filed under the name Enterococcus sp. FBPers-10_02-01. Its description in RNAcentral is "bacterial SSU rRNA". It matches the Rfam family "Bacterial small subunit ribosomal RNA", at positions 67 to 719 of the family's 1533-position model. Lineage: Bacteria; Bacillati; Bacillota; Bacilli; Lactobacillales; Enterococcaceae. The record is from RNAcentral.
CUUUUUGCCACCGGAGCUUGCUCCACCGGGAAAAAGAGGAGUGGCGAACGGGUGAGUAACACGUGGGUAACCUGCCCAUCAGAAGGGGAUAACACUUGGAAACAGGUGCUAAUACCGUAUAACAAUCGAAACCGCAUGGUUUUGAUUUGAAAGGCGCUUUCGGGUGUCGCUGAUGGAUGGACCCGCGGUGCAUUAGCUAGUUGGUGAGGUAACGGCUCACCAAGGCCACGAUGCAUAGCCGACCUGAGAGGGUGAUCGGCCACAUUGGGACUGAGACACGGCCCAAACUCCUACGGGAGGCAGCAGUAGGGAAUCUUCGGCAAUGGACGAAAGUCUGACCGAGCAACGCCGCGUGAGUGAAGAAGGUUUUCGGAUCGUAAAACUCUGUUGUUAGAGAAGAACAAGGAUGAGAGUAACUGUUCAUCCCUUGACGGUAUCUAACCAGAAAGCCACGGCUAACUACGUGCCAGCAGCCGCGGUAAUACGUAGGUGGCAAGCGUUGUCCGGAUUUAUUGGGCGUAAAGCGAGCGCAGGCGGUUUCUUAAGUCUGAUGUGAAAGCCCCCGGCUCAACCGGGGAGGGUCAUUGGAAACUGGGAGACUUGAGUGCAGAAGAGGAGAGUGGAAUUCCAUGUGUAGCGGUGAAAUGCGUAGAUAUAUGGAGGAACACCAGUGGCGAA